Long non-coding RNA from Sinocyclocheilus rhinocerous, 394 nucleotides. RefSeq lists it as uncharacterized. The record is from RefSeq and is a predicted model, not a curated record. The transcript has 3 exons. Lineage: Eukaryota; Metazoa; Chordata; Actinopteri; Cypriniformes; Cyprinidae.
UCUAGGAGAGCGUCGACCCCUAAUUGACAUAAGGGGAAAAAUCAUUGAAAAGUGUUCAGCGUUCAGUGUACCCCUCUUUGCAACAGAGGAAGCAUUAUAGUAAAGAGGAGUAGAGAGAAAGUGAAAAGGCACUCAACAGAUGUUGGAAAAUGCACUGGUAACAACUAAACAAAGAAGACCAAAAAUAUAAUUCAGCAGAAGAUGAUGGCUGUGGUGAAACAAGCGCUCAAAUAAUGGAACUAAGACCUGUGGGAGUGCUGGAGAAAUCAAGUGUAACAAGUCCUCUGUCUCCUCAGCCAUGUAAGAGAUCUUCAGACAUGAAGAGAUUGAGGAGUUAAAUUAAAUCAAAGAACUAAAAGAAGAUUUACAAUAUUAGUGCCAAUUCAGUAUGAAA